Molecule: ribosomal RNA, 2520 nt
Filed under: Triticum aestivum (bread wheat)
Lineage: Eukaryota; Viridiplantae; Streptophyta; Magnoliopsida; Poales; Poaceae
Description: partial small subunit ribosomal RNA
Source: RNAcentral
AUGCUGGCCGACGACGGUGCUGCCUCUGAAGAGGAUGAGGAGGAGAAGAAGAAGGCCGUGGUGCAGCACAAGACGCCCAAGCAGAGAAAGAAGCGCACCAAAACCCCCACUCCAAAGGACAAGGAGGAGGAGGAGGAGGACAAAGCCGAGAUGGCACACAAGACCCCCAAGCAGACAAGGAGGCCCGCCAAAGCCUCGCUCAUGGACUCCGAGGAGGAGGAGGAGCAGAAACUCAGCAGCCAGAACAAGGCCGAGAGCGGCACUGCCCUCUCCGGGAGGCGCGAGCGCAAGAAGAGCAAGUAUCUCUCGCCGCCCUACACCAACAUCGGCGUCUUUGCUCUUGAGGACAAGUCAGAUGAUUCGCCAAAGAAAUCGCCGCCCGCCAGAGCUGCUAACAAGGAUGAGAGCAAGUAUAACAAGGGGUCACCGGAUGAGAAGCACAAGAAGAAGAGCAAGGUGGUGGUACCGCCGCCGCUUCCGCUUCCGCUGGACAAUGUUGCUGCUCAGGAGGUCCUGCUGCUGCUGCGCUGCUUCGGGGAGGACGUCUCUCACAAGAGGCACUUCCCCAAGGCCGCGGAGGACUUCCUUGGCCUGCUUAGGAGCUCCGUGUUUGCCGAGGGUGCUCACCAUGACUCCUACAAGGACCAUGAAUGCUCACACAUUCCCAAGAAUGCUGCUGUUGAGAAAGCUGCUGCUGCUGCAGAUGUCCUGGUUUCAGAUUCAGCUGCUACUCCCAAACAAGGCAAGGGUAAGCGUGGUAGAAAGAAGAAGGAUCAGGAUGGCAGUGCCGAUUCUUCUUCUAUCAACAACAACAACAAGAAGAAGAAGAAGAAGAAGACGGCCGCUCUUGACUGUGCAGCGGAGGAUGCUUCUGAGGAGAAUAAGAAAGAGGAGAAUGUUUCUGACAAGAAGAAGAGGGGCAGAAAGAAGAAGGAGCAGGAGCAGGAUGGAACCUCCCCAAAAGGCUCUGUUAUCAACAAGAGGAAGAAGAUUGACAAAACCUCCCCAAAAGCAACUCUUGGGCCUGCCUCUGCCUCUGCCUCUGGCUCUGGCUCUGGCUUGGUUAUCACGCCCGCCAUUCCUAUCAGGCAGGUGAGUGCUGAGGAUAUCAUGAGCCAAGUCAAACCAGGCAUGGGAGCUGGGGUUCCUGAUCCCAAGAUGAAGAACAGCUUGUUGGUGUCAAAGAGCCCUAUUUCAGCUACAAUGUCUGGAGGAGUAAAAUCAGGAGAGGAGCAGGAGCAAGGGGACGGUGGAUCCGUUGUGAAUGCUUCAUCUGACCAAUCUGCCAAAAAGAAUGAGGAGGAAGCAACAAAGCCAGCAACUGAUAUGAAUGUGGACGGAGAUGUGCCCCAGACUCAAGUUACAAUGCCUGUGAAUGCUGAUGUUAAAAUGCCUGAAGCUGCUGGUAUGAAUGUGGAUAUUCUUAACGCAGAUGUUGCUGCCGCAAGUGCCCAGGCACAAGUGAUGACUCUGCCUGAAACUGGUGGUAUUCAGUUAUUAGAUAUGAAUGUGGAAAGUGUUGUAGAUGUGCCUGUCGUCACAAGUGUCGAGAUGGAAGCCAUGGAGCUGGAAGCUAGUAUUCCUGUACUAGAUAUAAAUGAACAAGUUGCUGCUGUUGAAGAUGUGCCUGCUACAAGUGGCUUGCUUCCACCUAUCAUCCAUGGAGAUAUCAUAUCCCAGCCCGCCGAUGAAAACAAAGACAAAAACGCAAGUGUGCAAGUUCGUGCAGUUCAAGAGUCAUACACAUCUCUGAUUCAGGCGAUGCUGCCGGAAACGUACAAGAAAGUGGAGGAGGUCGCUGCUGGAGCAGGUGCCGUCGCGGCGCCUCAAGGUGAUGAGACUCAAAAGGUUGAAGAGACUAGCCAGAACAAGGCAGUUGCUGCAAAAGGUAGUGGUGGUGCUACCAAUGGGAGCCCCUGCCCUCCUGAUGCGCCCAACUCUGCCCACAAGAGGAGAAACAAGAAGCCCGCAGCAGCAGCAUACUUUGCCAACCCAGCAGAGAUCCGGGUGAAAUUCUUGGACGGCACCAUGGUCCCCACCAAGGAGGAGCUGCUCUCAGAGUUCCGCAGGUUUGGCGUCCUGGUGGAGUCGGAGUGCGACAUAUCAGAAGAGCGCCGCGACGCGCGCGUGGUGUUUGGGAAGAGCACCGAGGCAGAGGCGGCCUACACCAAGGCGGAGAUCCCAGGCAUCUUCGGGCAGUUCGGGCCCCCCUGGGCCACCCUGGGGCUCAACUACCUGGAGGCGAUCACGCUUGCGCCUGCCCGUCCCGCCAAGCCCCUGCUGGCUCGUGCCGACAUGAGGAAGAACGUGGAGAACAUGAUCUCGUCCCUGAAGAACGGGCGGUCUUUGCCGCUCAACGUUGGAGCGGCGGCGUUCCCAGCCGCUCCCGCUCCCGCUGGAGGAGGAGCGGCGCCCGUGUCGGCGAGCCUCCUUGCUGAGAUGCAGCGGCUCCUGUCCAAGCUUGACAAGACGCAGCCCCCCCCUGGGCCUUCGGGCUCGGCUCCUCCUCCGUCGUCGUAG